RNAcentral lists this ribosomal RNA (398 nucleotides) under uncultured bacterium. RNAcentral's name for it is "bacterial SSU rRNA". It matches the Rfam family "Bacterial small subunit ribosomal RNA", at positions 358 to 773 of the family's 1533-position model. The record is from RNAcentral.
GGAAUUUUGCUCAAUGGGGGAAACCCUGAAGCAGCAACGCCGCGUGAGGGAUGAAGGCCUUCGGGUUGUAAACCUCUUUUCUCAGGGAAGAUGAUGACGGUACCUGAGGAAUAAGCCACGGCUAACUACGUGCCAGCAGCCGCGGUAAUACGUAGGCGGCAAGCGUUGUCCGGAUUUACUGGGCGUAAAGAGCGCGCAGGCGGUCGUUCAAGUCGAGUGUGAAAGCCCCCGGCUCAACUGGGGAGGGUCACUCGAUACUGAUCGACUCGAAGGCAGGAGAGGGAAGUGGAAUUCCCGGUGUAGUGGUGAAAUGCGUAGAUAUCGGGAGGAACACCAGUGGCGAAGGCGACUUCCCGGCCUGUUCUUGACGCUGAGGCGCGAAAGCUAGGGGAGCAAAC